RNAcentral lists this ribosomal RNA (426 nucleotides) under uncultured soil bacterium. RNAcentral describes it as "bacterial SSU rRNA". It matches the Rfam family "Bacterial small subunit ribosomal RNA", at positions 26 to 461 of the family's 1533-position model. The record is from RNAcentral.
AGAUUGAACGCUGGCGGCAGGCCUAACACAUGCAAGUCGAGCGGUAACGCGGGGCAACCUGGCGACGAGCGGCGGACGGGUGAGUAACGCGUAGGAAUCUACCUGGUAGUGGGGGAUAGCCCGGGGAAACUCGGAUUAAUACCGCAUACGCCUUAAGGGGGAAAGCAGGGGAACUUCGGUCCUUGUGCUAUCAGAAGAGCCUGCGUUGGAUUAGCUAGUUGGUAGGGUAAAGGCCUACCAAGGCGACGAUCCAUAGCUGGUCUGAGAGGAUGAUCAGCCACACUGGGACUGAGACACGGCCCAGACUCCUACGGGAGGCAGCAGUGGGGAAUAUUGGACAAUGGGGGCAACCCUGAUCCAGCCAUGCCGCGUGUGUGAAGAAGGCCUGGUGUAAGUACGAUUAACGUAGGGUAGGAAGGGGUAGGG